CGCCCACCAUCACCGCUCUGGUCUGCGACCACACCGACGACGCGGCGGUGGAGGCGGUGUUCCGCCGCGUUGACGAGGCGGGCCGGCUCGACGUGCUGGUCAACUCGGCCUGGGGCGGCUACGAGCGGAUGAUGGAGAACGGGCGAUUCACCUGGAUGGCGCCGUUCUGGGAGCAGCCGGCCUGGCGAUGGGAAUCGAUGGUGACGGCCGGCGUUCGGGGCGCCUACGUGGCGAGCCAGCACGCGGCGCGCCGGAUGGUGCCCGCGAAGCGCGGUCUCAUCGUCCACAUUUCGUCGUUCGCGGCCAAGAAGUUCGGCGGCAACACCGCCUGCGGCAUCGCCAAGGCGGCCACCGACAAGAUGGCCGCCGAUAUGGGGUUCGAGCUGCAGACCCAUGGGGUGACGGUGGUGUCGAUGUAUCCCGGCCUGGUCCGGACCGAGAACGUGCUCGCCGCCAAGGCGUUCGAUCUGAGCAACUCCGAGAGCCCCGAAUUCAUCGGUCGCGCGGUCGCCGCGCUGGCGGCCGAUCCCAACGUCUCGCGAUGGAACGGCCAGGUGGUAGUGGCCGCCGAAUUGGGCCGCGACUACGGCUUCACCGACAUCGACGGCAAGCAGCCCAAACCUCUGGCCUGGGGCAGCUUCUGAUGGAGGACGCGGCGUUCAAACGGCAGCCGGAGGCGGCGUCGGACAUCCUGGCCGACACCGAAGCCCUGGGCUUCGUCAUGGCUUCGGAUCCCAAGGUCGGAGCAUUCCUCGCGGCGCUCGCGGCCUCGAAGCCCGGUGGCCGGUUGCUCGAACUGGGCACCGGGACCGGCCACGGCACGGCAUGGCUUCUGGUUGGCAUGGACGCCGGGGCCACCCUCGACACCGUGGACAACGACGCGGCGGUCGUCGCCGUGGCGCAGCGUCACCUUGGCGGCGAUUCCCGCGUGACCUUCCAUGUCGUCGACGGAGCUGAGUUCAUCGAGCAAUCGUCCCCGGGCGCCUACGACCUGAUCUAUGCCGACGCCUGGCCGGGCAAGUUCUCACAGCUCGACGAGGCGCUGGCCCUGCUCAAGGUGGGCGGCAUCUACUUCAUCGACGACCUGCUGCCACAGGAGAACUGGCCGGAAGGGCACGCCCCGAAGGUACCGGUGCUGAUCGACGAGAUCGAGCGACGCGAGGGCUUCGUGACGGCGCGGCUGGCCUGGGGGUCGGGGUUGAUGCUGGUCGUGCGCACGGCCUGAGAACGAUGCGGUAUCUCCACACCAAUCUGAUCGCGAGGGACUGGCAGCGGCUGGCGGCCUUCUAUGAGGAGGUCUUCGGCUGCGUGCGCGUGCUGCCGGAACGCCACCUGAGCGGCGAGUCCAUGGAACGCGGCUCGAGCCUCCCCGGAGUACGGAUCGAUGGCGUCCAUCUCCGCCUGCCCGGGCUUGGUGCCGAUGCGCCGACGCUGGAGGUGUUCCAGUACUCGCAGAAUGUCGAAGCUGCCGCGCCGCCGGCGAACCGUGUCGGGUUCGGGCAUAUCGCUUUCGAGGUGGACGACGUGGCCGCCACCCGGGACGCGGUGGUCGCCGCCGGCGGCGACGUGGUCGGCACCAUCGAGAGCGUGGCGAUUCCUGGCGCUGGGCGCAUCACCUGGACCUACACGCGCGACCCCGAGGGCAAUAUCAUCGAGCUGCAACGGCGCGGCGCCUAGGGCUCCACCGGGCGCGGUGAUAGGAUGGCGCGCCCCCAUGCCCCCAUCCGCCCCAGUCGCCGCAGAGCCGGUGCACGACGUGCCGGCGUUCGAACCCUACGUUCCCGCGCACGCGCAGCUUCGGGAGUUGACGCCGGUGCCCCUCGUCGUCGGCACGGUGCUCGGCGUGAUCUUCGGCGCCUCGUCCUUGUACCUGGUCUUGAAGGUCGGGAUGACGGUCAGCGCCUCGAUUCCGGUGGCGGUGAUUUCGAUCGCGCUGUUCCGGCUGCUGUCGAAGUUCGGCGGGCGCGACGCGACCAUUCUCGAAAACAACGUCGUGCAGACAGCCGGGUCGGCGGGCGAAUCGAUCGCCUUCGGCCUGGGCGUGACGAUGCCCGCGAUCAUGAUCCUCGGGUUCGACCUCGAGAUCGCGCGCGUGGCAUUGGUGGCCGUGCUCGGCGGCCUGCUGGGCAUCCUGAUGAUGAUCCCGCUGCGGCGCGCCCUGAUCGUGCAGCAGCACGGGGUGC
RNAcentral lists this unclassified non-coding RNA (2183 nucleotides) under uncultured fungus. RNAcentral describes it as "sequence contains 18S rRNA gene, ITS1, 5.8S rRNA gene, ITS2, 28S rRNA gene". The record is from RNAcentral. Lineage: Eukaryota; Fungi.